Long non-coding RNA from Homo sapiens (human), 826 nucleotides. RefSeq lists it as uncharacterized. NCBI's taxonomy places the organism in Eukaryota, Metazoa, Chordata, Mammalia, Primates, Hominidae. The transcript has 3 exons. The record is from RefSeq and is marked validated.
GGGCGAUGCUCCCCGGGUAGGACAAACCGGUCACCUGGGCUGCGACGGCGGCUUAGGGGCAGAAGCGGCGGUCCAGGGCCGCCUGGCGCAGCAGCCUGUCCCAGCCGCGGUCCCUGCAGUCCCUCCCUGGCGGCUGCGCAGCCGUCCCACGACAGGGGCCAUAAACUCUCCAGAGCGGAAAGCCGCACCCUGGUGGCCCGGCCCCGCGCCCAGACCUGGCGGCCGCUGGCACCUGACCCGCUGCAUGGGUCUCCAGGGAGCUCGCUGCCCACCCGGCGCUGCAGGCUCGGCUCCCUCGUACACUCUCUGGCAAGCCCAAGAAAGUCAGGGGCCUAUGUGAGCCAAAGAGGAGAGAAGGUGAUGCCUCAGCCCAGUGUUUCUGCCCCACCUCGCUUGUGGCCUUCGGAACUUGAUUUGCACCGCAGGAAAAUGGGCAAUGAAAACCCCUCCCUAACUGGCUUCUCAGUCCACUCUGACCAGCCCACUGCACAGCGCCCACCCUGCAGCUCCAGAUGAGGCCUCACUCUGUCACCCAGGUUGGGGUGGAGUGGCACAGUCACAGCUCACUAUAACCUCAAGCUCCUGGGCUCAAGUGAUCCUGCCACCUCAGCCUCCUAAGUAGCUGGAACUACAGAUGUGCACUGCCAUGCCAGGCUUGUCUAACAUUUUUAUGUGUUGCUUCAUCCAGUUUGCUAGAGUUUUUGGAGAUUUCUGUCUUCAUUCAUGAGGGAUAAUAGUCUGCACUUUUAUUUUCUUGUGAUACUUUUGUCUGAUUUGUUAUCUGGGUAAUACUGGCCUUGAAAAUGAAUUGAUGUUUUCCUGCUUC